RNAcentral lists this unclassified non-coding RNA (2688 nucleotides) under Manduca sexta (tobacco hornworm). RNAcentral describes it as "heat shock factor protein, transcript variant X7". Lineage: Eukaryota; Metazoa; Arthropoda; Insecta; Lepidoptera; Sphingidae. The record is from RNAcentral.
AUGCGAUCCGUUGUAGAGAUUGGGGCUAGUGUCCCAGCGUUUCUGGGAAAAUUAUGGAAAUUAGUAAAUGAUACCGAGACAAAUCAUCUGAUUUCUUGGAGCCCUGCUGGAAAAACAUUUGUUAUAAAGAAUCAAGCUGAUUUUGCAAGAGAACUUCUACCUUUAUAUUACAAACAUAAUAAUAUGGCAAGUUUCAUCAGACAAUUGAACAUGUAUGGUUUUCAUAAAAUAACUUCUGUUGAGAAUGGAGGUUUGAGAUAUGAAAAGGAUGAAAUAGAGUUUUCACAUCCAUGUUUUAUGAAGGGUCAUGCUUAUUUACUUGAACAUAUCAAAAGGAAGAUUGCUAAUCCCAAAUCAAUUGUAACAAGUAAUGAAAGUGGAGAAAAGAUAUUGGUAAAACCGGAGUUGAUGAACAAAGUGCUUGCUGAUGUCAAACAAAUGAAAGGUAAACAAGAAAGCCUUGAUGCCAAGUUUAGUGCCAUGAAGCAGGAGAAUGAAGCCCUCUGGCGGGAAGUGGCAAUACUCAGGCAGAAGCAUAUAAAGCAGCAACAAAUUGUGAACAAUCUUAUUCAAUUUCUUAUGUCGUUGGUCCAACCUACUCGUCCACCAAAUGCUAGUGGAAAUAAUGUUGGUGUUAAGAGGCCCUACCAGUUAAUGAUUAAUAAUGCAGCAUACAAUGCCAACACUGAUCCUUCAUACCCUGGAAGAUUAAAAAAUAUUAAAUUGGACAAAGAUGCUUUAAUGGAAGACUUGAAUGAUGACAAUUUGGAGGAUGGGCCUACUAUUCAUGAGUUAGCUCAUGAUGAUAUUUUGCACACGGAAACUUCUCAAGAUGCCCUGGAUCCUAGCAGUUUUGUUACUAUUGACAUGAAUAACACAGUUACUAGAGGGCACAGUCCAAAUGAUCCCUUGUCCUCAAUACAGUAUCAUGUUACAAUGGAAGAUGGAGAUGACAUAGAUACAGGUGGUAACAGGGUGGUUUAUCCUAUUUGCCGAAGUAAUGGCUUUCCAAGUACAGAUGUACUGCCUGUUAUUACAUCACCACCACCCACUCAAGUUAAUCCAUCCUCACCUAUGGAUCAUGUUACGAUGGUUCCUAUGGCAAACAACAUUAUAUUGUCUCCUACCCCAGGCACAUCAAAGUCAAGGACUAAGAGUAAGAACUCCCAAGCAAGUGGUAAAACUCUAAUUUCUCCCACCAACUUCAACACAAUAAAUCCUUCAGCUGAUUUAAAACUUCCAGCUGAGAUAUUUGCUAGUGAUGAUUCUGUAAGUGACACAGGUGUUGUAAGUGCAGAAGAUGCAACAAUACAGAAUAUUUUACAAGAUGUUUCAGUUGAUCCAAUGGCAUCCACUUCAAAAGACAAAAUGUUUGGCGGUAUAAACAUUAAAGUGGAAAAACCAACAGAAGUUUCUAAAGCAUCCAAGAAAUCUAGGAAGCCAACCAACAAAGAUGCACAUGAAAAUGUUAAUUUAAGUGAUAUAAAGACUGAAUUACAAGAUGACUUUGACUGGAAUAAUAUGACUCUUGCUACAGUCAAUAACAACCCUAAUGUCAACAGGUUUCAAAACAGGAAUAGGAGAGAUAACAUCAGCAAAAAUCGGGAGGAAUGUUCUUCCCUCUUUGGAACAAAUUCAAACAAGAAUGACAUUGAUGAUCACUUAGAUGCGAUGCAAUCCGAUAUUGAAUCGUUGAGGGAGCUGCUCAGAAGCGACAACUACGCUCUUGAUACCAGCACACUAUUGGGGAAUGGUGAAGCAGGACUAGGACCUUCGAUGUCCUUGGCCAUUUCUGCUCGUCAUCAACCACCAAAUGAUUAUCUAUUUGGAUCGGACGAUCCUUUCUAUGGACUGACCUUCAACUCGUCGGACGACAAGUCGAAAACAUCGACAAACAGCGAUACAACCAAACAGUAUCCGAUGAUUGAUUUUGAUUGGCUGAUCAAUAACAGCGAAGCCUCGCCUGCAAAGUAGCCAUGGCUACGUCGUUCAAGAUAUUUGCAAUGCUGUGCACGUCAUGUCCGCAGUGGCAUGACGUGUUGGAAAUUUUGGUAAUGGGGUAAAAUAGUGCUGGUGGUUCCGGUAACCGGUUAGCGGCACGCGUUGGGGGCAACGUUGUUACCUUCCAUCUACAGUCUACGUCAUGUUCCUGUGAACACUGUUAUUUUGUAAAUAUUAUACUACCUGUGCAGAUUUCCAUCACAUAAGUUUUGUUUCAUCACAUAUCUUAAUUUAGUUAUAUGAUCACGAUAGUAUAGGGAUGCAGAAGCGGUAUUAUUUUUAUAUGUUUAAACGAAUAUCAUUUGUUGCGACAUAUAAAUUGUUUGACAACUUGUGGUUAAUUCAUCUCGGUUUUGAUAAUUCCGUGGACAGUGUAGCGUUCUAGAUUUUAAGUCAAUAUGUUAUAAAAGUACCUAUAACUGUAUUUUAUUGUUAAUUAAAGCAAAGAAGCAGAGAGGUGAAAUUUCGAAUGUAAGAAGUGACGACUCUCGCGACCAGCAGUUUAUAGAAGAUGAUGUUGAAGGGAAUCAGCUAAUCUCGUAUACAGGGAAUAUUCCAGACUUUGAGGAUAUAAACAUGCCGGAUCUAGAGUGUGAGAACUCGCAGGACUCGUGCCUGUCGCCGUCCGUCAGCUCCACGCUCAACACGCCGCAGGUGCAGGCGCGCUCGCCUUCCUUCACACUCAAG